Molecule: ribosomal RNA, 1534 nt
Filed under: Bacteroides thetaiotaomicron
Lineage: Bacteria; Pseudomonadati; Bacteroidota; Bacteroidia; Bacteroidales; Bacteroidaceae
Description: bacterial SSU rRNA
Rfam family: Bacterial small subunit ribosomal RNA
Source: RNAcentral
CUUUUACAAUGAAGAGUUUGAUCCUGGCUCAGGAUGAACGCUAGCUACAGGCUUAACACAUGCAAGUCGAGGGGCAGCAUUUCAGUUUGCUUGCAAACUGGAGAUGGCGACCGGCGCACGGGUGAGUAACACGUAUCCAACCUGCCGAUAACUCGGGGAUAGCCUUUCGAAAGAAAGAUUAAUACCCGAUGGUAUAAUCAGACCGCAUGGUCUUGUUAUUAAAGAAUUUCGGUUAUCGAUGGGGAUGCGUUCCAUUAGGCAGUUGGUGAGGUAGCGGCUCACCAAACCUUCGAUGGAUAGGGGUUCUGAGAGGAAGGUCCCCCACAUUGGAACUGAGACACGGUCCAAACUCCUACGGGAGGCAGCAGUGAGGAAUAUUGGUCAAUGGGCGCAGGCCUGAACCAGCCAAGUAGCGUGAAGGAUGACUGCCCUAUGGGUUGUAAACUUCUUUUAUAUGGGAAUAAAGUUUUCCACGUGUGGAAUUUUGUAUGUACCAUAUGAAUAAGGAUCGGCUAACUCCGUGCCAGCAGCCGCGGUAAUACGGAGGAUCCGAGCGUUAUCCGGAUUUAUUGGGUUUAAAGGGAGCGUAGGUGGACAGUUAAGUCAGUUGUGAAAGUUUGCGGCUCAACCGUAAAAUUGCAGUUGAUACUGGCUGUCUUGAGUACAGUAGAGGUGGGCGGAAUUCGUGGUGUAGCGGUGAAAUGCUUAGAUAUCACGAAGAACUCCGAUUGCGAAGGCAGCUCACUGGACUGCAACUGACACUGAUGCUCGAAAGUGUGGGUAUCAAACAGGAUUAGAUACCCUGGUAGUCCACACAGUAAACGAUGAAUACUCGCUGUUUGCGAUAUACAGUAAGCGGCCAAGCGAAAGCAUUAAGUAUUCCACCUGGGGAGUACGCCGGCAACGGUGAAACUCAAAGGAAUUGACGGGGGCCCGCACAAGCGGAGGAACAUGUGGUUUAAUUCGAUGAUACGCGAGGAACCUUACCCGGGCUUAAAUUGCAUUUGAAUAAUCUGGAAACAGGUUAGCCGCAAGGCAAAUGUGAAGGUGCUGCAUGGUUGUCGUCAGCUCGUGCCGUGAGGUGUCGGCUUAAGUGCCAUAACGAGCGCAACCCUUAUCUUUAGUUACUAACAGGUCAUGCUGAGGACUCUAGAGAGACUGCCGUCGUAAGAUGUGAGGAAGGUGGGGAUGACGUCAAAUCAGCACGGCCCUUACGUCCGGGGCUACACACGUGUUACAAUGGGGGGUACAGAAGGCAGCUACCUGGUGACAGGAUGCUAAUCCCAAAAGCCUCUCUCAGUUCGGAUCGAAGUCUGCAACCCGACUUCGUGAAGCUGGAUUCGCUAGUAAUCGCGCAUCAGCCAUGGCGCGGUGAAUACGUUCCCGGGCCUUGUACACACCGCCCGUCAAGCCAUGAAAGCCGGGGGUACCUGAAGUACGUAACCGCAAGGAGCGUCCUAGGGUAAAACUGGUAAUUGGGGCUAAGUCGUAACAAGGUAGCCGUACCGGAAGGUGCGGCUGGAACACCUCCUUU